RNAcentral lists this ribosomal RNA (531 nucleotides) under uncultured bacterium. Its description in RNAcentral is "partial 16S ribosomal RNA". It matches the Rfam family "Bacterial small subunit ribosomal RNA", at positions 355 to 896 of the family's 1533-position model. The record is from RNAcentral.
UGGGGAAUAUUGCACAAUGGGCGAAAGCCUGAUGCAGCAACGCCGCGUGAGGGACGACGGCCUUCGGGUUGUAAACCUCUUUUAGCAAGGAAGAAGCGAAAGUGACGGUACUUGCAGAAAAAGCGCCGGCUAACUACGUGCCAGCAGCCGCGGUAAUACGUAGGGCGCAAGCGUUAUCCGGAAUUAUUGGGCGUAAAGAGCUCGUAGGCGGUUUGUCGCGUCUGCUGUGAAAACCCGAGGCUCAACCUCGGGCCUGCAGUGGGUACGGGCAGACUAGAGUGCGGUAGGGGAGAUUGGAACUCCUGGUGUAGCGGUGGAAUGCGCAGAUAUCAGGAAGAACACCGAUGGCGAAGGCAGAUCUCUGGGCCGUAACUGACGCUGAGGAGCGAAAGGGUGGGGAGCAAACAGGCUUAGAUACCCUGGUAGUCCACCCCGUAAACGUUGGGAACUAGUUGUGGGGUCCAUUCCACGGAUUCCGUGACGCAGCUAACGCAUUAAGUUCCCCGCCUGGGGAGUACGGUCGCAAGAUUC